RNAcentral lists this ribosomal RNA (230 nucleotides) under uncultured bacterium. RNAcentral describes it as "partial 16S ribosomal RNA". It matches the Rfam family "Bacterial small subunit ribosomal RNA", at positions 57 to 305 of the family's 1533-position model. The record is from RNAcentral.
GCAAGUCGAGCGAGAAGGCAUCUUUGGGUGGAGGAGAGGGGCGAACGGGGGAGGAACGCGUAGGUAUAUAUCUAGUAGCAGGGAAAAACCAUUGGUAACGAUGGCUAAAACCGCAUACGCCCUUAUGGGGAAAACUGGGGCGCUACUAGAGGAGCCUGCGUUAGAUUAGCUAGUUGGUGAGGUAAUGGCUUACCAAGGCGACGAUCUAUAGCUGGUUUGAGAGGAUGAUC